Molecule: long non-coding RNA, 484 nt
Organism: Columba livia (rock pigeon)
Lineage: Eukaryota; Metazoa; Chordata; Aves; Columbiformes; Columbidae
Exons: 3
Source: RefSeq, a predicted model, not a curated record
AUGCCGUGAACCUCGUGCAGCUCCUCUGUGUAAACACAUUUUGCUUUGUGCUGCCUGAAUAUGGAGCCAGGAGAGAAAACACUCUUCCCUGCCUGGCAGGGCCGUGCCAGGAAGCUCCUGUUGGAUCAGCCGCUGCCAACACCUGGACCAGGGGACGGCUCCGGUGAGGAUGCAGAGGAGGUGCUGCCUGGAUGGGAUGUACCUGCACACGCUGCCUGGCUGCAGAGCAGGAGUCUGAUGUCCCCAUCGCACCCCUGUGUCCUGCCUGCAGCUCACUGUCCGGAUUCAGGAGCAGUCUGAGGUGACCUGAAGAGUCCCCACUAGUGGCUUCUUUCCAGUUUCAAAAUUCCAUCAGAAAUCCAUUACCAAAUGCAUAAAAAUCCAUGGAUUUAUAAUAGAAAGAGGCUCUUAAAGCUCAGAAAACACAGUCUGGAUGUCUCAAUAAAUCCUGAUGCAAAUGAUUAAAAAAGAAAGCAGAGCAAGA